Beta vulgaris subsp. vulgaris (sugar beet) is the source of this 4118-nucleotide long non-coding RNA. RefSeq lists it as uncharacterized. NCBI's taxonomy places the organism in Eukaryota, Viridiplantae, Streptophyta, Magnoliopsida, Caryophyllales, Amaranthaceae. The transcript is spliced from 3 exons. The record is from RefSeq and is a predicted model, not a curated record.
CAAUAGGUGAAAUAUGCCACAUGGUUGCCUUGUGGUCAAUCUUCCAUUUUCCUUCAUCAAGAUUAAAGGAAACCCCAAAACCAAAAUAAAACCCCAAACAAUAAUUUUCUCUCUCCUCUGAUUUUAUACCCCGUACUGUACAUGUUUCAUUUCUGCAUUAUGAAGUCGGAAUUUGCCCAAACGUAUUGCAUGAAAGUUGUAGAUCUCGAAAAGUUAUUGAAUUUAGACUUAAAAAUCGUUAAAUUCGGAGUCCGGAGCUAUGAGUUAUGACCUUUGCAAGUUUGAUGUUGCUGCUGCUAUUUUCUUUCAUGCUUUUGUUGUCGUCGCUGCAGCUUCGUGGUUGUUGUUGUUGUUGUUGUGUUGAUGUUAGGUACUACUCUUUCAAUCUUUCUCUCACUUUUGUUCAGAAAACCCAAUUGUUAGAUGAAUGUAUAAAUUUUGGGUUUAAAUUAUGACCUUUAUUUCAUCAAUUGUAAUAUGAUUUUUAUACUAUUAAUAAUUCUGAUUUUUACAAGUGUAAUUAAAAUUAUUAUUGAUUUGCAAAAUCAGAUUAAGGGAUUGAAAUUGGUAUUAUUUGGAUUGUUGAGAUUAAAGAUUAGAACUUUUGUUCAAUUACUUAGAUUGAAACUCAUUUUGAAUUACUUUAUAAUCUUCUAUUUUGUUAAGUAAAUUAUAAAAUCAACUUGUUGAUUUUGUUUUUAAGUAAUUUGGUAAAUUCUGAAUUUGGUCUUGUUUUAUAAAACCCUUAUGUCAAUCUAGAGUUGGAUUGGAGAAUUGAACUUGCUAUUAUAUUAUGAUUUUCAGAGAAAUGAGUUUUAUUAGAGUUAGCUUAUGAGGUUAAUUAAAGUGAGAAAUUGUUGUUGUAAGUUGGAUUAGUAGAAUGGAUAUUGAUGAUAGUUCAUUUUGAUUGAGAGUAUGGAGUGCAAGAUUAAUUGAUAUGUGUAUAAAAAUGACAAAUGAAUGGGGAUUAGGAAUAAGUAUAGGUUAUAAGAAUGAGUUAGUAGAUUAGUUUUUGUAUAUUAAAUUUAUGGAAUGUUUAUCUAAUAAUUCUUAUUGUUAUUGGUAAUGUGACUAUGGUUAUGAAUUUGUUGAGCUCAUGCUAUAUUGGGGAUUGAGGAUUAUUAUUGAAGAUUAAUCAGUGUUAUUCUAUGGAAGAUUGUUAGUAGGAAAAAUUGGUUUGUAGUUAAGGUAACAUUUAUGUUUAGCAAAAAUGUAUUUAUAUGUACGUAUGUGUUAUGUUGUAUUUUUUAUAUUAUACAUCGUUUGUAGUCAUGGCCAUGGUUAUAGAUGCGUCUCUAUUAGUUAGUUGUGAAUUGCUAUUGGAUUGUUAUAAAAGUAUCAUUUUGUUCAGUUAUUGGAAUUGUUCGGAAAUACUAUGUUUCUUAGAAUAUGAUUUGGGUAUGAUAAUGAGGAGAUGAUUUCGAAAUGGUUUUAGCUAACUUAGUUUAUGAACUGAGAUGAAUAGUGGGCAAGGUACUGAUUAAAAGAAAUGAUUCAGAUAUGAGUUAAGUCCAGAAAAGGUCGAAUAUUUUGUUGUGUUAUGUUAUGAGCCUGUACUUGCCAGUGAUUUUUGUUACGUGAUUAAGCUACGCCAGCGAUAUAUUUAAAAGAAUAAUUAUUUUUCGAACAAUUACCAAGUCAGUUUCUUAUAUGAAAAAUGUUUACGAACCAAAAUCAUUUUGACGGGCUGAAGUAAAGUUACUCAGCAUUCCGCUCAUUUUAGUUUUGUUUUUGUUUUGUAUUUUCUUCUGUAAUUUGCAGGAUUGUAUUGGGUGCUCAUAGUGGAUCGGAAAUAAAGAGUUGGUUAUCAAAUUGUAAAUAUAUUAGGGAUUCAAAGUUGUAUUUGGAAGUAUUCAAGUGCUUAGUGAAUAAUAUAAUAUUCUAUUAUUUUGAGAAUCAAGUAAAUUGUAAUUUGGUAUUUGCACUAGUGGAAAAAUGAAGAAGGGUUGCGCUGAAAAAGGCCUGUAGGGCUGCGCUUUUCGACAGCAGCCCUUUCAGUAGCAGCCCUUCACUUUUUAAGUAGGGCUGCGCUAGAAAAGCCCAGCCCUUAAGCUAGAAGGGCUGCGCUAGUUAGGAAAAAGCGCAGCCCUUCUAGCCCAGAAGGGCUGCGCUAGUUAGGAAAAAGCGCAGCCCUUCUGAGCUAGAAGGGCUGCGCUUUUUCCUAACUAGCGCAGCCCUUCCUACCAAAAAAAAAAAUAAAUUUUUUUUUUUUUUUUGGACAUGUUUUUACUCAUAAUCUCCUAUUUUCUGAAAUUAAACAGAAGAGAAGAGAAACGAAACGAAAAUACUAAACCCAAAACAAAAAAAAGAAUGAAACGAAAAUGAAAAAAAGGAACAAAAACUAAUAUACAAAGAGAAGUAUACAAGAAGUAUACAAGAACAUUAAUCAAAACAAAGAUGAAAAUACAAGAAAUUAUAUACAAAGAGAAGUAUACAAGAACAUUAAUCAAAAUAAACAAAGAGAAGUAUACAAGAACCUUAAUCGUCAAAACAAAGAGAAGUAUACAAGAACAUUAAUCAAAACAAAGAGAAGUAUACAAGAACAUUAAUCAAAAUAUAUAAACAAAGAGAAGUAUACAAGAACAUUAUAGAUCUGGAAAUACAAGAAAUACCUCCAAACAUUAACCUAAUAAUGUUUAAAUACAUAAAACAAAACCCUAAUACAUAAUUUAAGGGAAAAUUUUUUUUCGAAAAAUCUUAAAAUGCCUAUUUGGAGGCUUAAACGAACUCGGAUGGCUUAAAAAGCCUAAACGUUAUAGCCUAGCGGUGAGUUUGACUCGUUGGCUCGUUCCGCUUCCGAAAAGGUGUCACAAUAGGCAAUCGGACUCCAUCGGCAUGAUUCAUGCAAAUCAUUUCAGCGUUUUUGUCGCAACAUUUCUGGGAGUUUUUGAGAGGAUUAGAGAGAAGGAGGAGAGGGAGGAGGGAUGUGAGAGAAGGAGGAAAAGGAAUAAUGAGGGACGUGAGAGAGGAGAGAGAAGAAUGAGGGAUAUAUUUGACGACCCGCUUAGUAUUUGAAGCCCGCGAACUUGAAUUUUUCAAAUUUUUUAAAGAAGGGUUGCGCUUUUCUUCAAAAGCGCAGCCCUACUUAGUCAGAAGGGCUGCGCCUUUUAUAAAAGCGCAGCCCUAUUGAGUGAAGGGUUGCGCUUUUAUAAAAAAGCGCAGCCCUUCUGUUGUGUAGGGCUGCGCUUUUGUACAAAAGUGCAGCCCUUCACUAGUAGGGCUGCGAUUUUAGAAAAAGUGCAGCCCUUCCUCCGCAGCCCUUCCUUUUUUUUUCCCCUAGUGUUGGUUUUGAAGUUAUUAUGCUGUGGGUCAUGAGUUGACCCACAGGUUCAGGAUCGUAUUAUAGAUUAUGUUUCCGCUACGAGUAAAUAUUAAUUCGAGAUUUAUUAAGCGUUGAUUGUAAUUAGUGAAUCUUAAGUGUGUUUAGCUAGCAGCUCGAAAGUGCGGGCUGUUACAGAAUUUGGAGUCAUGUUAAGACAAAAGGGAAGAGCUGAAAAUUUCUGGUAUGCACCAAGUGGAAGGGAGCCACAUUAAUGAACUCAAAUUGGUUGACCAAGUUUGAAGUAAUGCACCCAUACCUUCCUCUUAUAUACCUUUCCAUCCUACAUAAUUUUCAUCACCAAAACCAACCAAAAUUGAUCUGCCCAAAAACACUUCCUCCUUCCUCUCUUCACUCGCCAGUUCUGGCGGAGCAUAUUGGGAAGAAAAGGAAUCACCAUUUCGAGGCCAAGAAGUUCAAGAAAAAGAGCUAUCUUCUUCAACUAGAAAAAUAGUGUUUAAGGAUUCCAAAGAAGUUAAAAUCUCAUCCUAAGGAGAAGGAGAAGUCGGAUCGUACCAAUUACAAAUUGAGAUAUGCAAAUUCAAUCCCUUUUUGGAAGAUAAGUAUUGUGAAAACUAUUCGAAGUAUUUUUGAGAGGAAAAUUGAGGAUGAAUUCUUGGUUUGUAUGACUAUUAGCUACUGUAUUUUGAUUGUAAUUAAGUAUAAACCCUUGCAUGUUGGAAAAGCAAAUGAAAUGGGGUUUCUUUCUUAUACUAGAAAAUGGUUAAAUGUGGCUGUAUUCGGUUUUUCGUAAAGGAUUGAUUUGUAUACCAGCGUAAGCUGAAUUUUGUUCUAUGUA